RNAcentral lists this ribosomal RNA (777 nucleotides) under uncultured bacterium. Its description in RNAcentral is "bacterial SSU rRNA". It matches the Rfam family "Bacterial small subunit ribosomal RNA", at positions 8 to 796 of the family's 1533-position model. The record is from RNAcentral.
AGAGUUUGAUCAUGGCUCAGAGUGAACGCUGGCGGCGUGCCUAACACAUGCAAGUCGAACGAGAACGGGAUUUAGUUUACUAAAUUUGUCAGCUAAGUGGCGCACGGGUGAGUAAUAUAUAGUUAAUCUGCCUCAAAGAAGGGAAUAAUUGUUGGAAACGACUUGUAACUCCCUAUAUGCCUUUAUCACAUAAGUGAGCAAGGGAAACAUUUAUGGCUUUGAGAUGAGACUGUACAGUAUCAGUUAGUUGGUGAGGUAAUGGCUCACCAAGACAAUGACGCUUAACUGGUUUGAGAGGAUGAUCAGUCACACUGGAACUGAGACACGGUCCAGACUCCUACGGGAGGCAGCAGUGGGGAAUAUUGCACAAUGGAGGAAACUCUGAUGCAGCAACGCCGCGUGGAGGAUGACACAUUUCGGUGCGUAAACUCCUUUUAUAUAAGAAGAUAAUGACGGUAUUAUAUGAAUAAGCACCGGCUAACUCCGUGCCAGCAGCCGCGGUAAUACGGGGGGUGCAAGCGUUACUCGGAAUCACUGGGCGUAAAGAGCAUGUAGGCUGGUCUGUAAGUUGGAAGUGAAAUCCUAUGGCUUAACCAUAGAACUGCUUCCAAAACUACUUACCUAGAGUAUGGGAGAGGUAGAUGGAAUUUCUGGUGUAGGGGUAAAAUCCGUAGAGAUCAGAAGGAAUACCGAUUGCGAAGGCGAUCUACUGGAACAUUACUGACGCUCAGAUGCGAAAGCGUGGGGAGCAAACAGGAUUAGAUACCCUAGUAGUCC